ACCUACGGGGGGCAGCAGUGGGGAAUAUUGCACAAUGGGGGAAACCCUGAUGCAGCAACGCCGCGUGAAGGAAGACGGUUUUCGGAUUGUAAACUUCUGUUCUUAGUGAAGAAGAAUGACGGUACCUGCAAAGGAAGCACCGGCUAACUCCGUGCCAGCAGCCGCGGUAAUACGGAGGGUGCGAGCGUUAAUCGGAAUUACUGGGCGUAAAGCGCUCGUAGGCGGUAUGUCAAGUCAAGGGUGAAAUCCCCGCGCUCAACGUGGGAACUGCCUUUGAAACUGGCAAACUGGAGUGUGUGAGAGGG
This 305-nucleotide ribosomal RNA is filed under the name uncultured bacterium. RNAcentral describes it as "bacterial SSU rRNA". It matches the Rfam family "Bacterial small subunit ribosomal RNA", at positions 337 to 658 of the family's 1533-position model. The record is from RNAcentral.